Molecule: non-coding RNA, 112 nt
Organism: Neodidymelliopsis sp. IMI 364377
Lineage: Eukaryota; Fungi; Ascomycota; Dothideomycetes; Pleosporales; Didymellaceae
Source: the annotation of a GenBank genome assembly
GGGGAUGUGGCUCAGUGGUAGAGCGCCCGCUUUGCAUCUUCUCCAGUUCUUCCGAAUUGCGAGUCAACGAUGAGAUUGCGGGAGGCCCAGGUUUCGAUCACCUGCUUCUCCA